Molecule: ribosomal RNA, 504 nt
Filed under: Orthotylinae gen. Z ORTHGEN sp. Msp245
Lineage: Eukaryota; Metazoa; Arthropoda; Insecta; Hemiptera; Miridae
Description: partial large subunit ribosomal RNA
Rfam family: Bacterial large subunit ribosomal RNA
Source: RNAcentral
GUCUUUUGUUUAUUAUAAAAGGUCUGGCCUGCUCAAUGAUUUUUAAAUGGCUGCAGUAUUUUGACUGUACAAAGGUAGCAUAAUAAUUUGUCCUUUAAUUGAGGUCUGGAAUGAAUGGUUUCAUGAAAAAUAAACUUUUUUAAUUUAAUAUUAAAAAUUUAAUUUUUAAGUUAAAAAGCUUAAAUUUUUUUAUAGGACGAGAAGACCCUAUAGAGCUUUAUUUUUAUAUUCUGAGUUUUUUUGGUUUAUUAAUUGAUUGUAGAUGAUUAAAAAUUUUGUUGGGGUGACAAAAAAAAUUUUAUAACUUUUUUUAUUUUUUACAUUUAUAUAUGUGUUUUUGAUCCUUAUUUUGGAAAAAAGAAUAAGCUACCUUAGGGAUAACAGCGUUAUUAUUUUGGAGAGUUCAUAUCGAUAAAAUAGUUUGCGACCUCGAUGUUGGAUUAAAAUAAGAUGUGGGAGUAGAAUAUCAUAUUCUUGGUCUGUUCGACCUUUAAAUUUUUACAU